AGUGAACGCUGGCGGUAGGCCUAACACAUGCAAGUCGAACGGCAGCACAGUAAGAUCUUGCUCUUACGGGUGGCGAGUGGCGGACGGGUGAGGAAUACAUCGGAAUCUACUUUUUCGUGGGGGAUAACGUAGGGAAACUUACGCUAAUACCGCAUACGACCUACGGGUGAAAGCAGGGGAUCUUCGGAGCGUGCGGGAUUGAAUGAGCCGAUGUCGGGUUAGCUAGUUGGCGGGGUAAAGGCCCACCAAGGCGACGAUCCGUAGCUGGUCUGAGAGGAUGAUCAGCGACACUGGAACUGAGCCACGGUCCAGACUCCUACGGGAGGCAGCAGUGGGGAAUAUUGGACAAUGGGCGCAAGCCUGAUCCAGCCAUACCGCGUGUGUGAAGAAGGCCUUCGGGUUGUAAAGCCCUUUUGUUGGGAAAGAACAGCAGCAGCUUAAUACCCCGCUGUUCUGACGGUACCCAAAGAAUAAGCACCGGCUAACUUCGUG
Molecule: ribosomal RNA, 492 nt
Filed under: uncultured bacterium
Lineage: Bacteria
Description: partial 16S ribosomal RNA
Rfam family: Bacterial small subunit ribosomal RNA
Source: RNAcentral